This 68-nucleotide transfer RNA is filed under the name Castor fiber (Eurasian beaver). RNAcentral's name for it is "transfer RNA-Pro". Lineage: Eukaryota; Metazoa; Chordata; Mammalia; Rodentia; Castoridae. The record is from RNAcentral.
UCAGGGGAGAAACAAAGUCCCACCAUCAGCACCCAAAGCUGACAUUCUCAUAAUUAAACUAUCCCCUG